UUAAGCGACUAAGCGUACACGGUGGAUGCCCUGGCAGUCAGAGGCGAUGAAGGACGUGCUAAUCUGCGAAAAGCGUCGGUAAGGUGAUAUGAACCGUUAUAGCCGGCGAUGUCCGAAUGGGGAAACCCAGUGCAAUUCGUUGCACUAUCGUUAACUGAAUACAUAGGUUAACGAGGCGAACCGGGGGAACUGAAACAUCUAAGUACCCCGAGGAAAAGAAAUCAACCGAGAUUCCCCCAGUAGCGGCGAGCGAACGGGGAGCAGCCCGGAGUCUGAAUCAGCUUGUGUGUUAGUGGAAGCGUCUGGAAAGUCGCAGGGUACAGGGUGAUACUCCCGUACACUAAAACACACAGGCUGUGAACUCGAAGAGUAGGGCGGGACACGUGGUAUCCUGUCUGAAUAUGGGGGGACCAUCCUCCAAGGCUAAAUACUCCUGACUGACCGAUAGUGAACCAGUACCGUGAGGGAAAGGCGAAAAGAACCCCGGCGAGGGGAGUGAAAAAGAACCUGAAACCGUGUACGUACAAGCAGUAGGAGCCCACUAGUUGGGUGACUGCGUACCUUUUGUAUAAUGGGUCAGCGACUUAUAUUCUGUAGCAAGGUUAACCGUAUAGGGGAGCCGCAGGGAAACCGAGUCUUAACUGGGCGUUAAGUUGCAGGGUAUAGACCCGAAACCCGGUGAUCUAGCCAUGGGCAGGUUGAAGGUUGGGUAACACUAACUGGAGGACCGAACCGACUAAUGUUGAAAAAUUAGCGGAUGACUUGUGGCUGGGGGUGAAAGGCCAAUCAAACCGGGAGAUAGCUGGUUCUCCCCGAAAGCUAUUUAGGUAGCGCCUCGUGAACUCAUCUUCGGGGGUAGAGCACUGUUUCGGCUAGGGGGUCAUCCCGACUUACCAACCCGAUGCAAACUACGAAUACCGAAGAAUGUUAUCACGGGAGACACACGGCGGGUGCUAACGUCCGUCGUGAAGAGGGAAACAACCCAGACCGCCAGCUAAGGUCCCAAAGUCAUGGUUAAGUGGGAAACGAUGUGGGAAGGCCCAGACAGCCAGGAUGUUGGCUUAGAAGCAGCCAUCAUUUAAAGAAAGCGUAAUAGCUCACUGGUCGAGUCGGCCUGCGCGGAAGAUGUAACGGGGCUAAACCAUGCACCGAAGCUGCGGCAGCGACGCUUAUGCGUUGUUGGGUAGGGGAGCGUUCUGUAAGCCGUUGAAGGUGGCCUGUGAGGGUUGCUGGAGGUAUCAGAAGUGCGAAUGCUGACAUAAGUAACGAUAAUGCGGGUGAAAAACCCGCACGCCGGAAGACCAAGGGUUCCUGUCCAACGUUAAUCGGGGCAGGGUGAGUCGACCCCUAAGGCGAGGCCGAAAGGCGUAGUCGAUGGGAAACAGGUUAAUAUUCCUGUACUUGGUGUUACUGCGAAGGGGGGACGGAGAAGGCUAUGUUGGCCGGGCGACGGUUGUCCCGGUUUAAGCAUGUAGGCGGAUGUUCCAGGUAAAUCCGGAACGUCACUAACGCUGAGGUGUGAUGACGAGGCACUACGGUGCUGAAGUGACAAAUGCCCUGCUUCCAGGAAAAGCCUCUAAGCAUCAGGUAACAUCAAAUCGUACCCCAAACCGACACAGGUGGUCAGGUAGAGAAUACCAAGGCGCUUGAGAGAACUCGGGUGAAGGAACUAGGCAAAAUGGUGCCGUAACUUCGGGAGAAGGCACGCUGAUGGUAAGUGAAGUGACUUGCUCACGGAGCUGAAAUCAGUCGAAGAUACCAGCUGGCUGCAACUGUUUAUUAAAAACACAGCACUGUGCAAACACGAAAGUGGACGUAUACGGUGUGACGCCUGCCCGGUGCCGGAAGGUUAAUUGAUGGGGUUAUCCUCACGGAGAAGCUCUUGAUCGAAGCCCCGGUAAACGGCGGCCGUAACUAUAACGGUCCUAAGGUAGCGAAAUUCCUUGUCGGGUAAGUUCCGACCUGCACGAAUGGCGUAAUGAUGGCCAGGCUGUCUCCACCCGAGACUCAGUGAAAUUGAACUCGCUGUGAAGAUGCAGUGUACCCGCGGCAAGACGGAAAGACCCCGUGAACCUUUACUAUAGCUUGACACUGAACACUGGUCCUUGAUGUGUAGGAUAGGUGGGAGGCUUUGAAGUGUGGACGCCAGUCUGCAUGGAGCCGUCCUUGAAAUACCACCCUUUAAUGGCUGGGGUUCUAACGUGGGCCCCUAAUCCGGGUUGCGGACAGUGUCUGGUGGGUAGUUUGACUGGGGCGGUCUCCUCCUAAAGAGUAACGGAGGAGCACGAAGGUCAGCUAAUCCUGGUCGGACAUCAGGAGGUUAGUGCAAUGGCAUAAGCUGGCUUGACUGCGAGCGUGACGGCGCGAGCAGGUGCGAAAGCAGGUCAUAGUGAUCCGGUGGUUCUGAAUGGAAGGGCCAUCGCUCAACGGAUAAAAGGUACUCCGGGGAUAACAGGCUGAUACCGCCCAAGAGUUCAUAUCGACGGCGGUGUUUGGCACCUCGAUGUCGGCUCAUCACAUCCUGGGGCUGAAGUAGGUCCCAAGGGUAUGGCUGUUCGCCAUUUAAAGUGGUACGCGAGCUGGGUUUAGAACGUCGUGAGACAGUUCGGUCCCUAUCUGCCGUGGGCGCUGGAGAAUUGAGGGGGGCUGCUCCUAGUACGAGAGGACCGGAGUGGACGCAUCACUGGUGUUCGGGUUGUCAUGCCAAUGGCAUUGCCCGGUAGCUAAAUGCGGAAGAGAUAAGUGCUGAAAGCAUCUAAGCACGAAACUUGCCCCGAGAUGAGUUCUCCCUGACCCCUUAAGAGUCCUGAAGGAACGUUGAAGACGACGACGUUGAUAGGCCGGGUGUGUAAGCGCAGCGAUGCGUUGAGCUAACCGGUACUAAUGAACCGUGAGGCUUAACCUU
This 2905-nucleotide ribosomal RNA is filed under the name Klebsiella oxytoca 10-5249. RNAcentral describes it as "bacterial LSU rRNA". It matches the Rfam family "Bacterial large subunit ribosomal RNA". The record is from RNAcentral. Lineage: Bacteria; Pseudomonadati; Pseudomonadota; Gammaproteobacteria; Enterobacterales; Enterobacteriaceae.